This 185-nucleotide non-coding RNA is filed under the name Thiotrichaceae bacterium. Its description in RNAcentral is "6S RNA". It matches the Rfam family "6S / SsrS RNA". From Rfam's summary of the family: E. coli 6S RNA was the first non coding RNA to be sequenced, but its function was unknown until recently. It consists of 184 nucleotides that fold into an extended hairpin structure with a large single-stranded internal bulge. Lineage: Bacteria; Pseudomonadati; Pseudomonadota; Gammaproteobacteria; Thiotrichales; Thiotrichaceae. The record is from RNAcentral.
UGUCGUCUAGGAUAUUCGAGGAGUAAAUGGGAAAUCCCUUGAGCCUAAUUUUAUAUUACAGGGAUUUGAUGAGAUUUUGUGAGCAUGACCGCUACGGUGGUAAGCCUAAUGAGUUUUUGAGGAUCCCGUCUUGAGCCUUACUGGUUCAAGGUCGAUGUUUACUUCACGAUAAUCUUGGUAGACAC